Molecule: non-coding RNA, 74 nt
Organism: Hyaena hyaena (striped hyena)
Lineage: Eukaryota; Metazoa; Chordata; Mammalia; Carnivora; Hyaenidae
Source: the annotation of a RefSeq genome assembly
GCCUGGCUGGCUCAGUCCGGUAGAGCAUGAAACUCUGGAUCUCAGGGUCCUGAGUUCAAACCUCGCAUUAGGCA